CUGGUAUUUAAUGAUAUUUCAUCAAUUAAAAAUGUGACAACAUAGGUGUUUCCUUUAACAAUCAAUUUAUAAAUUUUUAUUUUACCAUUUUUUUUUUUUGCAUGCCGAAUCGAUGUGCACGCAACUGCGUGUUAGCGUAUAGGGAGCUACGCGCCUGUAGAUUAGCUUUUGUUCAAUUGUAUCAUAAAAGCCAUUUUUAUAUGGCCUAAAAAAAUUUUGGUUCAUAUAAUGCUAUGAUGUCGUAGUCGUUCAAAGACACAUUUGGUUUCCGUGCAAUAACUUUAGUUUAAGUGAAUGGAUCUCUAUGAAUUUUUUUAAGAAGGUUCAAUACCACAAAAGAAAGGUUGGGAUUUAUUUUGGGGAUGAUGGUCUUAACGGUUUAGAAAUUAGGGGCCUAAAAGGUGCCCAAAACAAGCAUUUUUCUAGUUUCAGGAUAAUUACUUGUGUUUAAGUGUAUGGAUCUCUCUAAAAUUGUACUACAAGAUUCCAUACUACAAAGGAAAGGGUGGGAUUAAGUCUGGGGGUAAUUGUACGAAGGGGGGAAGGAUUUAUUUUUUCUUUUUUUCUAAGGAGUUCAUAUUUUUUUCAAAAUUUUUCAAAUUUCACAAACAAAUUUUUUAAAAGUUUCAAGAAGAAAUCUUCAAUUGCACAGUAUUGUGCAAUAGAUUCGUAAGAUCCUUGACCACUUUUAUUUUGUGUUAGAAAC
Molecule: long non-coding RNA, 706 nt
Filed under: Mytilus galloprovincialis (Mediterranean mussel)
Lineage: Eukaryota; Metazoa; Mollusca; Bivalvia; Mytilida; Mytilidae
Source: RNAcentral